Molecule: ribosomal RNA, 374 nt
Filed under: uncultured organism
Description: partial 16S ribosomal RNA
Rfam family: Bacterial small subunit ribosomal RNA
Source: RNAcentral
GUAGGUGGCAAGCGUUGUCCGGAAUUAUUGGGCGUAAAGCGCGCGCAGGCGGUUCUUUAAGUCUGAUGUGAAAGCCCACGGCUCAACCGUGGAGGGUCAUUGGAAACUGGAGAACUUGAGUACAGAAGAGGAAAGCGGAAUUCCACGUGUAGCGGUGAGAUGCGUAGAGAUGUGGAGGAACACCAGUGGCGAAGGCGGCUUUCUGGUCUGUAACUGACGCUGAGGCGCGAAAGCGUGGGGAGCAAACAGGAUUAGAUACCCUGGUAGUCCACGCCGUAAACGAUGAGUGCUAAGUGUUAGGGGGGUUUUCCGCCCCCCUUAGUGCUGCAGCUAACGCAUUAAGCACUCCGCCUGGGAGUACGGCCGCAAGGCUG